This 628-nucleotide ribosomal RNA is filed under the name uncultured euryarchaeote. RNAcentral's name for it is "bacterial SSU rRNA". It matches the Rfam family "Archaeal small subunit ribosomal RNA", at positions 338 to 1478 of the family's 1478-position model. The record is from RNAcentral. Lineage: Archaea; Methanobacteriati; Methanobacteriota.
GACACUAUAUAUCACAAUCGCACAGAAAGUGGAGAUAAGGGAAUCCAGAGGGCUUAGCUUUGCUAGGCUUUUGCCAAGAGUAAAAACCUUGGAGAAUAAGUGGUGGGAAAGACUGGUGCCAGCCGCCGCGGUAACACCAGCGCCACGAGGGGGGAUCCUGAUUAUUUGGCCUAAAGCGUCCGUAGCUGGUUUAGUAAAUCUCUUGUGAAAUCGUUGGGCUCAACCCAACGGCGUGCAGGGGAGACUGCUAGACUAGGGACCGGGGGGAGUCAGAGGUAUGCCGGGGGGAGCGGUAAAAUGCUAUAAUCCCUAGUAGACCACCUGUGGCGAAGGCGUCUGACCAGAACGGGUCCGACAGUGAGGGACGAAAGCCAGGGGAGCAAACCGGAUUAGAUACCCGAGUAGUCCUGGCUGUAAACGCUGCGAGCUAGGUGUUGCACAUUCUCCGCGAAUGUGCAGGGUCGAAGCGAAGGUGUUAAGCUCGCCGCCUGGGAAGUAUGGUCGCAAGACUGAAACUUAAAGGAAUUGGCGGGGGAAAGGGCGAAUUCGUUUAAACCUGCAGGACUAGUCCCUUUAGUGAGGGUUAAUUCUGAGCUUGGCGUAAUCAUGGUCAUAGCUGUUUUCCGGA